CCUAAAACACACACUACACACGCCAUUUUCCAUUUAAGCUUGGACGGAGCUUUUGACCUCCGAUUUGAGCACCGAGACAAGCGCCGAUCAUCUUUUCGAUCACGUAUCUAAGUAGGUCCUUUUGGGAAGUAACGACUUGAGGGAGAGAGUGACGUUACUCAUUGAUACAGAGACACAACGAGGUUGAGCUGAUGUGAUGAUGGUGCUGCAAUGAGCGGAGUCUCCAGGGUUGUUAAUAAAUAGUUAACCUGUCUAGAAUAUGUCUUCAUACAUAUGUCUAGCUACUUUCCGCUGCAAGAUGUUGUUGAUGUUAUAGUAUGUUAUGUCAUACUUUGAGUCUUAAGAGAAUGGUUGCAUAUGAUGUAUAACUUGAUUAAUGAUAUUAAUUAACUUUUAUGCAGUCUUUCAGACUGUUUUCAAUUGAGUAUUAAUGAAUAAAAAUGACGAGUUUUAUUAA
Salvia miltiorrhiza (redroot sage) is the source of this 457-nucleotide long non-coding RNA. RefSeq lists it as uncharacterized. The transcript has 3 exons. Lineage: Eukaryota; Viridiplantae; Streptophyta; Magnoliopsida; Lamiales; Lamiaceae. The record is from RefSeq and is a predicted model, not a curated record.